Molecule: ribosomal RNA, 492 nt
Filed under: uncultured bacterium
Lineage: Bacteria
Description: partial 16S ribosomal RNA
Rfam family: Bacterial small subunit ribosomal RNA
Source: RNAcentral
AGUGAACGCUGGCGGUAGGCCUAACACAUGCAAGUCGAACGGCAGCGCAGUAAGAGCUUGCUCUUACGGGUGGCGAGUGGCGGACGGGUGAGGAAUACAUCGGAAUCUACUUUUUCGUGGGGGAUAACGUAGGGAAACUUACGCUAAUGCCGCAUACGACCUACGGGUGAAAGCAGGGGAUCUUCGGACCUUGCGCGAUUGAAUGAGCCGAUGUCGGAUUAGCUAGUUGGCGGGGUAAAGGCCCACCAAGGCGACGAUCCGUAGCUGGUCUGAGAGGAUGAUCAGCCACACUGGAACUGAGACACGGUCCAGACUCCUACGGGAGGCAGCAGUGGGGAAUAUUGGACAAUGGGCGCAAGCCUGAUCCAGCCAUACCGCGUGGGUGAAGAAGGCCUUCGGGUUGUAAAGCCCUUUUGUUGGGAAAGAAAAGCAGCAGGUUAAUACCCCGCUGUUCUGACGGUACCCAAAGAAUAAGCACCGGCUAACUUCGUG